Molecule: ribosomal RNA, 442 nt
Filed under: uncultured bacterium
Lineage: Bacteria
Description: partial 16S ribosomal RNA
Rfam family: Bacterial small subunit ribosomal RNA
Source: RNAcentral
CCUACGGGCGGCAGCAGUGGGGAAUAUUGGGCAAUGGACGCAAGUCUGACCCAGCAACGCCGCGUGAAGGAAGAAGGCUUUCGGGUUGUAAACUUCUUUUAAGGGGGAAGAUAAGAAGACGGUACCCCUUGAAUAAGCCACGGCUAAAUACGUUCCAGCAGCCGCGGUAAUACGUAGGUGGCAAGCGGUGUCCGGAUUUACUGGGUGUAAAGGGAGUGCAGCCGGGAAGAAAAGUCAGAUUAGAAAGUCCGGGGCUUAACCGCGGAACUGCAUUUGAAACUGUUUUUCUUGAGUAUGGGAGAGGUAAUUGGAAUUCCUAGUGUAGCGGUGAAAUGCGGAGAUAUUAGGAAGAACACCAGUGGCGAAGGCGGAUUACUGGACGACAACUGACGGUGAGGCGCGAAAGCGUGGGGAGCAAACAGGAUUAGAUACCCUGGUAGUC